RNAcentral lists this ribosomal RNA (249 nucleotides) under uncultured bacterium. RNAcentral describes it as "partial 16S ribosomal RNA". It matches the Rfam family "Bacterial small subunit ribosomal RNA", at positions 57 to 305 of the family's 1533-position model. The record is from RNAcentral.
GCAAGUCGAGGGGUAAGGCUCACUUCGGUGAGUACACGACCGGCGCACGGGUGCGUAACGCGUAUGCAACCUACCUUUAACAGAGAGAUAGCCCCGAGAAAUCGGGAUUAAUAUCACAUAACGUCCUUUUAUGGCAUCAUAUAAGGAUCAAAGCUCCGGCGGUUAAAGAUGGGCAUGCGUGACAUUAGUUAGUUGGUGAGGUAACGGCUCACCAAGGCUACGAUGUCUAGGGGUUCUGAGAGGAUGAUC